AGUGAACGCUGGCGGUAGGCCUAACACAUGCAAGUCGAACGGCAGCACAGUAAGAGCUUGCUCUUACGGGUGGCGAGUGGCGGACGGGUGAGGAAUACAUCGGAAUCUACUUUUUCGUGGGGGAUAACGUAGGGAAACUUACGCUAAUACCGCAUACGACCUACGGGUGAAAGCAGGGGAUCUUCGGACCUUGCGCGAUUGAAUGAGCCGAUGUCGGAUUAGCUAGUUGGCUGGGUAAAGGCCCACCAAGGCGACGAUCCGUAGCUGGUCUGAGAGGAUGAUCCGCCCAACUGGAACUGAGACACGGUCCAGACUCCUACGGGAGGCAGCAGUGUGGAAUAUUGGACAAUGGGCGCAAGCCUGAUCCGGCCAUACCGCGUGGGUGAAGAAGGCCUUCGGGUUGUAAAGCCCUUUUGUUGGGAAAGAAAAGCAGCAGGUUAAUACCCCGCUGUUCUGACGGUACCCAAAGAAUAAGCACCGGCUAACUUCGUG
Molecule: ribosomal RNA, 492 nt
Filed under: uncultured bacterium
Lineage: Bacteria
Description: partial 16S ribosomal RNA
Rfam family: Bacterial small subunit ribosomal RNA
Source: RNAcentral